GACGAACGCUGGCGGCGUGCCUAAUACAUGCAAGUUGAGCGAUGAAGAUUGGUGCUUGCACCAAUUUGAAGAGCAGCGAACGGGUGAGUAACGCGUGGGGAAUCUGCCUUUGAGCGGGGGACAACAUUUGGAAACGAAUGCUAAUACCGCAUAAUAACUUUAAACAUAAGUUUUAAGUUUGAAAGAUGCAAUUGCAUCACUCAAAGAUGAUCCCGCGUUGUAUUAGCUAGUUGGUGAGGUAAAGGCUCACCAAGGCGAUGAUACAUAGCCGACCUGAGAGGGUGAUCGGCCACAUUGGGACUGAGACACGGCCCAAACUCCUACGGGAGGCAGCAGUAGGGAAUCUUCGGCAAGGGACGAAAGUCUGACCGAGCAACGCCGCGUGAGUGAAGAAGGUUUUCGGAUCGUAAAACUCUGUUGGUAGAGAAGAACGUUGGUGAGAGUGGAAAGCUCAUCAAGUGACGGUAACUACCCAGAAAGGGACGGCUAACUACGUG
This 497-nucleotide ribosomal RNA is filed under the name uncultured bacterium. Its description in RNAcentral is "partial 16S ribosomal RNA". It matches the Rfam family "Bacterial small subunit ribosomal RNA", at positions 28 to 507 of the family's 1533-position model. The record is from RNAcentral.